This 6551-nucleotide long non-coding RNA is filed under the name Brassica napus (rape). RNAcentral describes it as "long non-coding RNA (BNAP_LNC021759)". Lineage: Eukaryota; Viridiplantae; Streptophyta; Magnoliopsida; Brassicales; Brassicaceae. The record is from RNAcentral.
UCAUCUUCUUUUUGGAUAAAGAAUUCCCAUACUUUUGCUCUAUGAGCAAUUGAUUACCUUGGUUUUUGUGGAAGAGCAGAGCUUGGUCUUUCAGUUUCUUUUCUUCUCUUUCCAGCAAGAGAAGGUUCCGGAGCUUCUUCUCCUUGAAUCUCAUUGUCAAGCAUCGUUCUGAUCAUAAGAAGAAGUUAAAUCCAUCUGCAAAAAAGAAAAACAUUCACAAUCAGUUAUUUAUAAACACUGCAAAACUUUUGUCUUUUAUCUAUAAAGAGUCUUUGUGUAGGACAAACAUGCGAGAGUCAAAAAUUUAUACAAACUUUUGGAAGUAUUGACGACAGGAUAAUAUAACCACUGAUUUUGAUUGGAGAUCUGGUCUUCACUCCAAAUUUCAGUCCAAAGUCUCUAAGUCGUAAAUUAGUUGUCUUGAGAAAUUGAUCUCGCAAGCUAUUGUUUUACAUCAAAAACAAAUACAUAGACUCUUCGUACGGUUUGUCAUAUAGUAGAUUAUGUUCAAAGGUUUGUUUAUACUGACCUGCUUGUGUGUCGUGAAUCUCAGGCUCCGUCUCCUUUCACUCUGACUCUACAAUCCUGGAUCUCGCUCUUUCUUCUCCAGCUGAUCUCUCACCGUACCACCUCCUUAUGCACCUAUCGAAGACUAAUCUAUGACACAUAGGAACAAAACAAAUAAAAAUGCAUCAGCUAACAGAAAUAAAUGGAAAACCGAAUGAAAAAGGAGGAGGUUUAAGCAAUCAAUACCUAAAAAUAUGUCUAUGUUUUGUAUAUCCAUUUGAAGUAGGGAUGGUGGCUGAUGAUCUUCAAGCUUCCCUGCUAAACAUAAUAAGGAACUACAUAUACAUGAUAUGAAACUUUAAAAGAAGAAUUUGAAAAUAAUAUUUCCUCAAGUUUCGAUAUGAAACUGUCCCCUCGAACACUCGGAAUAUUUCUAUUAGUUCAUCCUAUGCUGAUUCCUAAACCAAAUUUCAUUUGGAGUUUUAUUAUCUGAGCUCGUUGAUUAAUCUUCACUGUAACUAAAAGGUUUUAGUGUAUACAUACUAUACCUGAGAGGUGUUUUGGGCCAUUAUAUAAAUGUCUCCAUUGCCAUCAAACGUAGAUGACGAUCAUCAUCUCCCAAAGUUCUGCAUUUCAAUUCUUCCACAUCGAUUUCAUCACUUUCUUUGGUUUCUCACGAACAGCAUAUAUAAAUAUCAGCUAAUCCAUCUUAUCAUCAGUUCCAUGGUCUGUUCGUAUAGAAGGUUGUAUUUUGAGUAAGACCAAAGUAAACAACGACAUACCCUCUGAGUCUUUGUCGAGGAGACAGAAAGCUUCGUAAAACUCUUGGUCUGCUCAUCGGUGAAAGCAACAGCUAUAGGUGAAAGCUUUCCGCCAUCUUCGAUCACAAACAGAAAAAGAGAGUUGCUGAGUUAGCCAUAUCACAGAAAAUAGAUGAAAGACACCAUCGCCGCCGGGUUUUAACAGGUAUCGCCGGAAACAAUGGCUUCACGUAUUAUAGAUGGAGAUUUCGACGCCGGUUAGAUGAACGGUCUAAGCAUUCGCUGGAAAAAAAAAGAAAAGAAAAAAAGCAAUCUUCGGCGACGCUAAGAGAAUAGGAAACGGAAGUGUUUCUGAAAAAGGUAGUCCAGCAAGUAACAAUAUCACAAAGCCCAUAUGAAUUAAAGCUCUGCGUUUUGGGAGAAACGGGACACGUGUCGGCUCCAGGGAGCUUGAAUUGAUGACGUGGCAUCCGAGCUGGACCCUCUGGGAGUGAUUCAAAGUCUUCUUUAUAUAUAAAGAUAUAUAUAUAUAUAUAUAUAUAUAUGUAUGUAUUUUCCAAUCCACCAUAUUUGAUUUAAAUUAUUCACUAUUUACUUAAUUGGUUCGACACAACAAAAUUUGUUCACAUUCAGGGAUAACUAUUAGAAGGUCGGCUCACCGGAAACAUUCAACCGAAUGAUUCAAAAAACUUAACCGAAGGAGAUAUAUAUGAGUUUUCAGGAUUUUCUGUCAUACAUAAUUCACGACAUCGGAAACUUACCCAACUGCCGUAUUACAUUCAGAUCGACCAAAAGACAAUAACAUUGAACGUUACAGUCAACGGUCCGAUAUUUCCAGUUCACAAUUUAUCUCCUCAAAAUUACAGAAAUCUAUUGCGGUUAGCCACUACACCCACAUACUUACCAGGUAAGUAAGUCAUUCCAGUAUUAAUUAAACAAACAUGGAUGUUUAUUCUAAAAUCAAUGUGCAGAUGUCGUCGGGCAGAUAGUCAUAAUACAAAAAAUAAAACCGUACCAUCCAGAACUCAAUAUUGAUGCCACGAUUGGUCUAUGGCUGAACAGGUAAGUCUAACACAAUAGUUAAAAACGAAAUAAUAAUUAUCUUCAUACAUACAUCUCUAUCUCAGGUCGACAAUUGUUAAACUCAUACUGUGCGACAAGCAAGCAGCAAAUUUUAGCAUCCUACAAAGCAAGAAGGAUAGGAAAUUUAAAGUUGUCAUCAUCACAAGCAUAAUUCCUAAACUUUUCCAAGGUAAAUAAUUUUGUUAAACACAUCAAAACAUAAUACAUAUCUAUUUUUUUUUAUCAACAGAACAAUAAUAUUCAAUAUUUUCCAUGCAAACUACUACUCAGUUCAUCACCAGCAACAAAAUUUCUACUUCAACAAAUCAAUUGAUUACAUAAAGCAUUUCAAAAGGCAAAUAAGAGAUCAUGCAAAACCAUGCAGCAAAGAGUGAUUCUAAUUCAUUCAUCAUUCGGAUUGUUAUUCUCUUUCUCACAAGACUUGAUACCUAGAUUUAUUUACAUUUUAAACUAUUUUAUCAUUGUUUUCUUUAGAUUUCUACUUCUAUAUAAAAUCUAAAACUCAACUUCUGUCUUUCAAUCUUUGCUAAGCAAUUUAAAUAUAUAGAAAAUAAAUUAAAAAACAUAAGUGAUGUCUACGUGUUAGUGAGCAAGAAAGCAUGAUUAGAGUGAAUAAGAAGUCUACUAUAAAGAUGAAGGUUAUUAAGAGAAAAAAUUGUGUAGAGUUUGUGAAUUUUCAAAAUUUACUUGGAUAAGAAAAUAUAUAUACACUGACUUACAAAAUUUGAUCAAACUUUUGUAAAUUGCUACUUCUUGAAUAUUUUUCGAAUUAUUUCGAAUUUGUUUCUCUAUAUUUUUCAAAUUGAAACUAUUUUUAUUUUAAAUUUGAAAAGAAUUUCGAUUUUUUAUAACAUAUAAUUUGAAAGCUAUAUUAAACUUAAAAUAUAUAAUUUCAAUUUUCAGUUUUCCACUAUUACACGUAAAAAUAUGAUUACGUACGCUUUUUUUUAAAAGAAGGUUUUAUAUUUUAAAUAGGUUAUUGGAGUACUUUUUAUUUUCGUAAAUUUAUUCGAGAUGAGAUUCCGAUCUUUUAAAAUAAGAGACUUUAUGUUCUAUACAUAAUUAUAUUGUUUUAGAUUUCUUCAUAUUUUAAUAGUUAAUUGUGUUACAUAUAAUAUAAAUACUUAUUUCAAACUAAAAUAUUUAAAAAACAAAUUUUAAAAUUAGUUAAGUUAAGUUAAAAAUGAUAAAUGUAACAAAUUUAAUAUAUUAUCCGGAUCUAGUAUAUUUAAGAUGAAAGGAGAGCAUAACAUACUUAAUACAAUUUAUUUAUUUAUUAAUAUACAUAUAAAUUACAAGAUGGCUUAAAAUUAUAAACAAAAAUAAAUAUUUACCUAUUAGUUUUAUAAAAUAUUUGUAUCAUGAGUAAUCACCUAGUUCAUAAUAAUGGGAAGUUGAAUGAUUACAAAUGUGUUAAAAGUUUUUUUUUUUUUAUCAAACAAAUGUGUUAAAGUUAACGUCGUUGAAUCUUCCAUGAAUCUUCCUCUCAACUUUGUGUCUUCUUAUUUACUUACUUGUCUUUGGACUCUUUUAUGUGGUUCUGUGUCAUCGUUGAAUAUUCCUCUCCACUCGCCUCUUCUUAUCUAUUUACUCGUCUUUGGAUUCUUUUGUGUUGUUUUGCUUCAUUGUUGUUAUUUUUCUCUUUGCUCGAAAUCAUUAUUGUGUUCCUGUUCUUCAGUUUCUUGAGUUUUCUCUCUAAUUCAUGGCUUCUUCUUCUUCUUCUUCUUCUCUCACGUGGACGCAUGAUGUCUUCCCGAGAGACUUUGCAUAAGUAAUGUUUUAUCUAUCUCAAAAUUUGACAGCUCCAGAUAUGUUGGUUUACCGUUCACGACGAUCCAUAGAUUUCAUGCAUUCUUCAUGUUCUCCUGUGCAUAGAAAAAUUAUGGCAUAGAGAUAGUUACUGAGAUAAUUACCUUUACCACAAUGGUUGUUUGCCAAUAUGCAAAGAUGUUUCAGCCUUGUUGAGGGUUUUUUUCAUUGCCAAAAUGUUUUGUUUUUCUAAUAUUAAUUCUUGUACAGAAAAAACAAUUUUUUUGCAUUAAUUUUAAAUUAAAAAAUUAUAAUGAUUAAUUUAUUUUCAAUUAAAAUAUUUCUCUAUUUUCAUUUCAUUUUCUUAUUUAUAUUAAUAUUUACUCAAAAUAUAGUUGUUUCAUCAUUAAAAUUUAUAAAAAUGUGAUUGUUUUAAUUUUGUUCCCAAUAUUUGUUCUAUUUUAACUUUGUUAUUAAGUAAAAUAGUUUUAAAAAUGUACUCGAUUAUGUUCAACACAUAAAACAUGAAUUAAAUUUUGAUGUUAAUUUUCUGAAUUUGGCGACACUUUUUUCUUUUAUACAUUUUCUUUAAAUUACUAAGUCAUACAAUGCGAAAAUAGGUUAUUUAUUAUAAUAAAAUUACUUUAAAUAGGUAGGUACAGGAAAACCUAUACAAAUUAUAAUUUUUUAUAAAUAUAUAUAUGUUUAAAUUUUAAAUGUUAUUAUUUUUAAAAUAAAAUAAAUCAUGUUUUCUGAAUUAAUAAUUACGGUUUCAAAGUAAAUGAUGCUGAUUAAUUUUAAAAUUUGAUUUUACAUUGAAUUUAUUAUAACCAAUUUAUGUUAUUUUUUUAAUUGGAUAUAUCUUAUUAGUAAAUAAAUAUUUUAUUUGUAAGAUAUUAUAAUUUUUUAAAAUUAAUUACUUUAUAUAUAAAAUAUUCAAAAUUACUAUACAUUUAUAGUGAAUGACAUUUAGCCAUCAAAUUUAUAUCAUUUAAAUAGAAGUUCUAAAUUUAUUACAAAUAUAUUAAUAUAACUAAAUUUAUUAAUUACAUUAGUUUAAAUAAAUUAUAAUGUAUUUUUGGCGAUGUAAAAUGUUAAAUGAUUUUUGUAUCUCUUUUUUAUUAUUCACAUGUAAGUAAAUUAUAGAAAACGGUAAUAACAUUUUAUAGGGGAAAUUUCAUGUUUACCACUUUCAUGGUACCUCUUUUCAUUUUUACAUCCACUAAAGGGACAUUUUCAAAAAUACAUUCUUCAAUAAGUGGCAAAAGACUCUUAUACUUUUGUUCUCUAUAUAUAUAAUAAAUCAUUAUUUAAAUAAAUAAAAACAAAUAAAAAAAUCUAUUUUGUUCAUGUUUUCGAAUUAUACUUGUUCAAAUUCGAAUUUUUUUAUAAUUUUUUUUUGAAUUUUUUUUUUGAACUUUUUUUAUUUUUUUCAAAAUUUUUUUUUGAAAAUCGAAAAUUAUGUAUGAAACUAUUUUUAAUUUUUUUUAAAAAAUGUUAAGUAUUUAUUUAUAUAUUUAUUAGAAUCCUUAAUUGCAUAUUCCAAACAUCCUACCUCAACUCUAAACCCUAAGUCUAGAUUAGUUAACCUUAUGGAUAUAAGUGUCUUUUACUCUUCUUUAAAAAUGAGGGUAAAAGUGAUUAGUGUAGACAUGAAAAAUGGUAUUAUGAAUGUGGUAUUUGUGGUAAUUUCUUCAUUUUAUAUUCAAUUGACAAAAAGUACUUUGUGUUCAAAAUGUACCAUUGAAUAAAUAUUUAUGGAUUAUUUUUAUAAAACGUGUUAAAAUAUUUGGUUUAGAUGUGUGUUAAACAAAAGUUAUGGAUGAUUUUAUAAUUCUUGACGUAAUUUGCUGACCUAUCAGUUUUUCCUUCACCUAUUAGAAAUAAUUAUACUAACUGUUCAAAGUUUCAAACGAAUAUUCAGUUUCAAACAUAUUACACCACUUUCAAAAAUAAGUUUCGAACCCACGUUGUACUAACUUAUUGAUGAAAGAUGCUGACAUCACAAGUUUACAACAAUAACAGAGAAGAAAAAACAACUUGCAAUAAAAAUCUUAAACAAACACAAAUUGUAACUCAAGCUGAAAUAAAUACAAAAAGGAACCAAGAUACACUUAGUAAUUUCACGUGGAGAACACGUACGUGUUUCAGGUGCUACUUUCAGUUCCUGCAAUUUUGCAGAAACAACAAUUGCAUUGUGCACGAUCAUCUUCUUUUUGGAUAAAGAAUUCCCAUACUUUUGCUCUAUGAGCAAUUGAUUACCUUGGUUUUUGUGGAAGAGCAGAGCUUGGUCUUUCAGUUUCUUUUCUUCUCUUUCCAGCAAGAGAAGGUUCCGGAGCUUCUUCUCCUUGAAUCUCAUUGUCAAGCAUCGUUCUGAUCAUAAGAAGAAGUUAAAUCCAUCUGCAAAAAAGAAAAACAUUCACAAUCAGUUAUUUAUAAACACUUAAAACA